CCCAGGUGGUCCCAAUUCCAAUUUGUGUGAAUAAACCAAUUGAAUCGUCACAUCCCGCGGCGGAUUGCCUCCUUCCGUCAAGUGUAAAACACAACUGUUCGUAGUCCCCCGGCCACGUUUGACACUGCUU
Molecule: non-coding RNA, 130 nt
Organism: Caenorhabditis elegans
Lineage: Eukaryota; Metazoa; Nematoda; Chromadorea; Rhabditida; Rhabditidae
Source: Ensembl